GUCAGCAGCCGCGGUAACACCGGCGGCCCGAGUGGUGAUCGUGAUUAUUGGGUCUAAAGGGUCCGUAGCCGGUUUGGUCAGUCCUCCGGGAAAUCUGAUAGCUCAACUAUUAGGCUUUCGGGGGAUACUGCCAGACUUGGAACCGGGAGAGGUAAGAGGUACUACAGGGGUAGGAGUGAAAUCUUGUAAUCCCUGUGGGACCACCUGUGGCGAAGGCGUCUUACCAGAACGGGUUCGACGGUGAGGGACGAAAGCUGGGGGCACGAACCGGAUUAGAUACCCGGGUAGUCCCAGCCGUAAACGAUGCUCGCUAGGUGUCAGGCAUGGCGCGACCGUGUCUGGUGCCGCAGGGAAGCCGUGAAGCGAGCCACCUGGGAAGUACGGCCGCAAGGCUGAAACUUAAAGGAAUUGGCGGGGGAGCACAACAACGGGUGGAGCCUGCGGUUUAAUUGGACUCAACGCCGGACAACUCACCGGGGGCGACAGCAAUAUGUAGGCCAAGCUGAAGACUUUGCCUGAAUCGCUGAGGGGUGGUGCAUGG
RNAcentral lists this ribosomal RNA (541 nucleotides) under uncultured archaeon. RNAcentral describes it as "bacterial SSU rRNA". It matches the Rfam family "Archaeal small subunit ribosomal RNA", at positions 457 to 997 of the family's 1478-position model. The record is from RNAcentral.